UCGGGGAUCGUCCAACGGUAAGACAGCGGCCUUUGAAGCCGUCAAUCAUGGUUCGAAUCCAUGUCCCCGAA
Molecule: transfer RNA, 71 nt
Filed under: bacterium
Lineage: Bacteria
Also listed under: 1 other name
Description: tRNA-Gln
Rfam family: tRNA
About the family: Transfer RNA (tRNA) molecules are approximately 80 nucleotides in length. Their secondary structure includes four short double-helical elements and three loops (D, anti-codon, and T loops).
Source: RNAcentral